UCCUCGGUAGUAUAGUGGUCCGGUAUUUCCGCCUGUCACGCGGGAGACCGGGGUUCGAUUCCCCGCAGGGGAG
This 73-nucleotide transfer RNA is filed under the name Trichonephila inaurata madagascariensis. It matches the Rfam family "tRNA". From Rfam's summary of the family: Transfer RNA (tRNA) molecules are approximately 80 nucleotides in length. Their secondary structure includes four short double-helical elements and three loops (D, anti-codon, and T loops). Further hydrogen bonds mediate the characteristic L-shaped molecular structure. tRNAs have two regions of fundamental functional importance: the anti-codon, which is responsible for specific mRNA codon recognition, and the 3' end, to which the tRNAs corresponding amino acid is attached (by aminoacyl-tRNA synthetases). tRNAs cope with the degeneracy of the genetic code in two manners: having more than one tRNA (with a specific anti-codon) for a particular amino acid; and 'wobble' base-pairing, i.e. permitting non-standard base-pairing at the 3rd anti-codon position. The record is from Rfam by way of RNAcentral. Lineage: Eukaryota; Metazoa; Arthropoda; Arachnida; Araneae; Nephilidae.